Molecule: long non-coding RNA, 2890 nt
Organism: Myotis daubentonii (Daubenton's bat)
Lineage: Eukaryota; Metazoa; Chordata; Mammalia; Chiroptera; Vespertilionidae
Exons: 2
Source: RefSeq, a predicted model, not a curated record
UCUCUCUUUCUUUUUUAAAAUAUAUUUUUAUUGAUUUCUGAGAAGAAGGGAGAGGGAGAGAAAGAUAGAAACAUCAUUGAUGAGAGAGAAUCAUUGAUUGGCUGCCUCCUGCACAUCCCACACUGGGGAUCCAGCCCGCAACCCAGGCAUAUGCCCUGACUGGGAAUCGAACCGUUACUUCCUGGUUCAUAGGUCGACGCUCAACCACUGAACCACGCCAGCCAGACGAGACCUAUCUGGUAGUUUUAGACCAAAUCCCAUCCAGAUGCGUGGUGUGGGAGACAUAGGUGCUUUGCUGGGUAGAUCGCUCUCCCAGGAGACCCUGUCACAAGCAACCCUGUAGCCAAGGGAAUGGGUGCUGAUGUCCUGUCCAAGAAUUAAAGCAAUUAGGACCAGCAUGGGCACUGCCUGCUAUGGUGGAGUUCAGGGCCAAGCUGUGUUGGAAGUUAUUUCUGUCUUCUAUUGCUUCACAGGAUCUUCAUUUUUCUUUUCGUCUUCUUUUUUAAAAUAUGUUUUUAUUAAUUUUGGAGAGGAAGGGAGAGAGAGAUAGAAACAUCAAUGAUGAGAGAGAAUCAUUGAUCGGCUGCCUCCUGCAUGCCCUCCACUGGAGAUUGAGCCCACAACCCAGGCAUGACCAGGAAUCGAACCAUGACCUCCUGGUUCAUGGGUCGACACUCAACCACUGGGCCACACCGGCCAGGCUACUUUUUUCUAAAAUGGUGGCAUUGUGUUCAUCAGAACCUGUCAGGCUCUGGCUCUGAGAGUCAGCCUUGUUCUACUCUCAGGGCUCAUGUUUCUUCUGCAGAACCCCUACUUGUAGAUGUGUGCUUCCCAAUUUGGGAGAGCUGGACAAGGCCAUAUGAGCCUGUGGGACAUAGUGGUUCACAGAGUGCAAGAGGAUUCCCUAUUCCUUGAGUCUGAGAGAAAAAUCAGAAAAUGUCAUCUUCUGAAUUGCAAACUGACAAAGGCAAAUUAUCUGAGAAAAGCUACAUAGUAACUAUUGCUGAUAAAAAGGGGUUAUUUUCUAACUCAGCUGGUGCCUCUUAGACUUCCAUUCACUACAAGAUGACUUGGAUUCUUAGGGCUCUGUUAGUUGCAUUGGUGACCAGAGGAUUCUGGUUAUCAGAGAGGGGUGCGAUGGUGGAGUAGGACUGCUCCUUUGGCACCAUGGAGGAGGCCCUGCGGAGCCGGCAGCAGCAGGUCAGGCACCCGCUCCCGCCACCAUAGUGUAACAGGUGCAGAUUUAGGUUCGUUCACUGUCUCUUGUGAGUUUGGCUAGUUUGAAUCAGUCCCCAGGGCUUCAUCACCCCUGGGUGAACUGAUAAAAUCUGUUUCUUGAACAUUCAGGUCUGGACAGGACAUCUGUGAUGGUGCUGUACUUGCUGUACUUUGUACUUUGCCUGUUUAUUUCUCUUCUCUCCUUACCUUUUUUCUUUCUUCAUCCAUCUCUUGCUAUUACAGGAGUGACCCUGUCAUUGUAAUCUGCCUGCCCUUGCAGGUACAUUCCUAUUCUCUGUCUCCUUCGUUCCUCUUGAAGACUGUGGCUAUGUUACAAAUCAGAUUGUUUGAGGAGUCCCCUUGCUCUUCCCCUCUUACGCUUCCAUCCCCUAACUUUUGCCAGAGGCUCACACAAGCAUCAUCACUGCAGGUUAAGGUCAGCAGCAGGCAGUGAAACUGUGCUUGUUCCUCAGGUGGUCAAGGCCCCACUGUAUCGACAUCUGAUAUCAUUCACCUUGCGGCUGUGGCCUCUCCUUUCCUCUCGCAAGGUACUUCAUGAUAUCCUGCCUCCACUCUUUCCUCUGGUUUCGCUUGUUCUCUCAGAUCAAGAAGUAGACCUCUCAUUUUUGUAGAGGGGUAGCCCCACAGGGCAAGUGAUACCUGCGUUUGAUAACAGAUCUUUUGUUUAGGGUUUUGACCCAAGGAAAGGAGGCCACCCACUUACCAAAGCACAGAGCACUCCUUCGCUUCUGCAGUGUGCUCAGUGCUACUUGGCAAAAAACAGAGUCUUUCCAGGAGAAGCCAUAGGAAAUCAAACUUUUUUAGCGCCUUGCCUCUGAUGUGCUUAUACCCUGACCCUUGCCUUGUGCCGUGUGACCCUCAGAGCAAAGAGUGAUGAGCUUAUGGCUUUCUUUCACUAGCCAUGGAGGUUCAGCUUCUAACACAGGAGGAGCCUUGACCUUGGGCUGGGGCUCUGUGCAUCCUUGUAAAAGGAGAAGGUGCCCUUCCGUAGUACGAUUCCUUGUUGGGGCCCACUUCUAGAUGCUUCUUCACAAAACACUGAGGACUCUUUAAUCCCAUCGGGCUGUUUGCAUCUGGAGAAGAUGGAUAUUCUCCUUGUAGUGCACACUAGGAGAGUUUCCAUUCGAUCCAGCUCUUCAGAGAACGAUCCGAGAGCAGAUUAAUUGCCAGUCCUUAUCCAAGUAGAGAACGGACUGACUCAUGAUACCUGGAUAGACUCCAGAGCGAGAUGCAGUGCCCUCUCCCGCUGCUGGCAGAACACUCCCUCUCCUGCUUGGACGGCUCUGAGCUCACUGGUAUCCAGUGACCAUCUGGAGAUGGCAGGAUCAGCUUUCCACCAGAGCUGCCGGGUUAUAUGCCACUCUAAUCUGAUGGAAGAAUUCCUCAGCUCUGAUAACCUGUCCUGCCUGAUGGUUGGAGUUUGAUGGGAGUGUUAGUUAUCAGAGUGCCAGGGGGCAGUGUGGAAUUCAGGGGAGAGGAGGGAGUGAGGAUCAGUGGCUUUACCAGCAUUUCCAUGGAUUUGAGCAAUUGUGAGCAGCAUCGGGUAGGGCUCCAGAAGCUUUAGUUCUAGGGCUACCUCUUCGGUGCCUCAUCUGUGACCUUGGGUAAGUUCCUUGACCUCUCUGAGCCACAUCACCCUCAUCUGACAAAC